ACAUGUGAAACAAUGAUGAGAGUUUACCAGACCAUCUGUUGCGAGGUGAAAGCCAUAAAGCCGUACGAACAGGUGAAGAUUGACAGAUGUAGAGACAGGAGCGCAACAAUGGAUUUUUAGGAUGAGAAUCUGAACUCUUUGACACUGACAAGAAUGACAUUACACCUGUUACCUGUGUAUUUAUGAGAUCUGAAAGUCGUAAUCAAAAGUGAAGUGAAAGACACCUGGCGAUCGACAGAGAGGUGUGACCAAACACACGACCUCUCUCCUCUAAGUUUAUGGAAAUGAUCUGCCUCACAUCAAGCCCAAAUAAAGUCUCUCUUCAUUCCCGGCAGCAUUGAAAGGAGCCACUCGUCCCCCACAUGAGGGACACACUAGUUUCUUUCCUUCUUUAUCAUAAACAGCAGCUGGCACUCACCUCCGUUUCCCUGGGUGGGGAAUCCCUCUCGGAAAAGAAAUCCCUUCUCUUGUAUCCUGCGUUCUUUCUCUCUCUCUCUCUCUCUCUCUCUCUGUGUAUCUGUGUCAGUUUGUCUUGUAUUGCUCCUCAAACUCUUUUUCAGUGCUAUGGGUGGACGUUAAUGUGGAGUUCAUCCUGAUACAGCCUAGGUCCUGAAUGUGUCUAUCAAAUAUCACAGAAGAGCCAAAGCCAGUGAAUCCAGGAGCUCCAAAUGGAGAGAGAAGGAGAGAGAGAAAGUCUACAAUGCCAGACUGUACAAGCAGGAUCAACUUACAUUGUCUGAGCUAUUAAAUCAGACGGACCGUUCUGGACCGAAACCCUGAUGCUCACCAAAGACCUCUACUUUUCUUCAAUGGAUCUGAGG
Carassius carassius (crucian carp) is the source of this 821-nucleotide long non-coding RNA. RefSeq lists it as uncharacterized. The transcript is spliced from 4 exons. Lineage: Eukaryota; Metazoa; Chordata; Actinopteri; Cypriniformes; Cyprinidae. The record is from RefSeq and is a predicted model, not a curated record.